This 342-nucleotide unclassified non-coding RNA is filed under the name soil metagenome. RNAcentral describes it as "partial contains 5.8S ribosomal RNA, internal transcribed spacer 2, and large subunit ribosomal RNA". The stretch from base 1 to 119 matches the Rfam family "5.8S ribosomal RNA", at positions 35 to 154 of the family's 154-position model. The record is from RNAcentral.
GAUGAAGAACGCAGCGAAAUGCGAUAAGUAAUGCGAAUUGCAGAAUCCGUGAGUCAUCGAAUCUUUGAACGCACAUUGCGCCCGCUAGUAUUCUGGCGGGCAUGCCUGUCCGAGCGUCAUUUCAACCCUCAAGCCCCCGGGCUUGGUGUUGGGGAUCGGCGAGCCUCCGCGCCCGCCGUCCCCUAAAUCUAGUGGCGGUCUCGCUGUAGCUUCCUCUGCGUAGUAGCACACCUCGCACUGGGAAACAGCGCGGCCAGGCCGUUAAACCCCCAACUUCUGAACGUUUGACCUCGGAUCAGGUAGGAAUACCCGCUGAACUUAAGCAUAUCAAUAAGCGGAGGA